RNAcentral lists this ribosomal RNA (497 nucleotides) under uncultured bacterium. RNAcentral describes it as "partial 16S ribosomal RNA". It matches the Rfam family "Bacterial small subunit ribosomal RNA", at positions 28 to 507 of the family's 1533-position model. The record is from RNAcentral.
GACGAACGCUGGCGGCGUGCCUAAUACAUGCAAGUUGAGCGCUGAAGGUUGGUACUUGUACCGACUGGAUGAGCAGCGAACGGGUGAGUAACGCGUGGGGAAUCUGCCUUUGAGCGGGGGACAACAUUUGGAAACGAAUGCUAAUACCGCAUAAAAACUUUAAACACAAGUUUUAAGUUUGAAAGAUGCAAUUGCAUCACUCAAAGAUGAUCCCGCGUUGUAUUAGCUAGUUGGUGAGGUAAAGGCUCACCAAGGCGAUGAUACAUAGCCGACCUGAGAGGGUGAUCGGCCACAUUGGGACGGAGACACGGCCCAAACUCCUACGGGAGGCAGCAGUAGGGAAUCUUCGGCAAUGGACGAAAGUCUGACCGAGCAACGCCGCGAGAGUGAAGAAGGUUGUCGGAUCGUAAAACUCUGUUGGUAGAGAAGAACGUUGGUGAGAGUGGAAAGCCCAUCAAGUGACGGUAACUACCCAGAAAGGGACGGCUAACUACGUG